GUUACCUUCCAUGAAGUAGCCUGGCGACGGUAAAGUGUAUGUAUGUGUAUAUGUGUAGGUUUGUUAUAGCAGAGUUUGAAACUGUAUAAUGUUUAAGUUUAUAUUUUAAAGAGAUUGCUGAUAGUUAUGUUCCUUGUUUUAAAUUCUCGUUUAUGGAAUUUAAAAGCAGUGCCUCUAUAGCAACAACAAAAAAAAUUCAACUAUCGUUAUUGAAUAACAGUUAGGUCACCAGUAACGAGUCACUUUAACCACACACCAACAGAAACAUUUAAAAGAGGGACGAAAGAUACCAAAGGGACAAUCAAACUCAUAAAUCUAAAACAAACUGACAACGCCAUGGCAAAAAAUGAAAAAAGACAAACAAACAACAGCACACAUGACACAACAUAGAAAAACUAAAGAAUAAACAACACGAAUCCCACCCGAAGAGAAAAUUGAUUUGAUUUUUGGUGUUUUAGCGCCACUUUUAAGCCACUGGCAUUUGUCUCAGAAAACAAAUUUCCUAUAUACCUAAAUAUAACACAAGGUACUUACAUUUUGUAACUCGUAUUUUUGAAAAAUGUUAGCCGGUCGCGAAAUUCCGUUACUGUGGAUUCAUUAUUAUUCGUUGGAUAUCAAAUUCGUGGCUUUCGUGGGUAAAGGUAAACCACAUUCUAACUUUAAUCGAAUGAAGAAUUCUCAAAAGCUUUGUAUACAAACUUCAGCAAAACCACGAAAUCAAAUAUCCAAGAAUAUGCAAGUUUUCCUUAAUCCACAAAAAUAAGUACUCACGAAAAUUAAUGAAUCCACAGUAUAUGCCAAUUUUGCGUUGUCAAACCCACUAAAACUUGUUAAGUCGUAUAUCUAGAUUGAUUUGUCUACACAAUGGUGUAUAACACGCUUACUUUUGUUGUCGAAAUCAUCCGUAGCAAUCCUGCCCAAGUAUGUCAAUCGUAAUUGUUUCGUAUACCGACGAAAAAUUGAAAAGAAAUGUCUCGCAGUAAAAGGUAUAUUCCCACUCUCUUUAUAUAUCUAGGUUUCAGAUUUGUCAAAUUUAUUGAAAGGUCUAAAUGUUUCUCGGAGUUAUCUGAUCUUAUUUCAUUUGAUACGUACAAUCAAGAGAGAGUAUGAAUGACAUUGACGUACAGGGAAAAUUUGUGUCUUAAAAAAAAAGAAACUAGUAAUUUUUAUUAGACAUACCGCAAAUAACACUUGUUUGGUCUUUUCACCGUAUCUUAUACAAAUUUACUAAUUGGGUGAAAAGUUCUAUUCAGACAAAAAAUAUAUAUUUUUUUCUUAAAUAAUUUUUAUAAUUAUUCAUUUACUGCGAGUUUUCCAAUCUGGCGUCGGUAGACGAAAUAAUUACGAUUGACGUACUUGAGUAGGAUUGCUACAGCUGAUUCCGACAAAAAACGUAGGCGUGUUAUACACCAUUUGUAGAUAAAUCAAUUAAAAGGAGUUGGCUAGCAAUACCCCUUUUUGGCCCCAAAAUAUAGCAGUUUUACAAAAUUGUUAAAAUGCAUACUUUAAGUUAAUUAUUGGAAAGUAGAAUGCCUCUGCUACAUAAAUAUGGGCUGUUAUUGACAAUAUAAUGCACAUAUAUCGGGUACUAGAAUCUUAAAGUCAUGUAAUUACUAAAAUCUUCACAAUUUUAGUAUUUGAGUUAAAUUUUAGACGGUUUCCGUCUUAAAUGAAAGUGGCCGCAUUUGUGUUCAUUCUUAAUUUUGAAAUGUAAGUUGUUUUUGAUGAUAAUACAUCACAUAUAUAAAGGUUGAGGAUAAACACGGAUGCGGUCACUUUUAUUUUUGACAGAGCCAUCUGAAAAGUGUCAUUUUUUGGCAUAUUUGAUAGGUUUUUAAUAUUUAAGCUUGAAUCGGAGCGUUUUUAAUGACUAAAUCAGUUAAAAUCUUUAACAUUAACUAAUUGAAUCAACUCAAAGAGACACUUAAGUGUUUAAAAAAUCUUUCGACAGAUGAACCUGAAUUUAUAGGCCAAAAUCGGCCCUUUCCUGACCUUGUUAUAUACUCCUUUACGACAUAACUAGUUUUAGUGGGUAUGGCAACCGAGAAUUCGGCAUUUAACGGAAUUUCGCGACCGGCUGAUAUUUUUCAAAAAUUCGAGUUAAGUACAUUCUGAUAUAUUAAGGAAUAUAGGGGAAAAAAUUCUGAGACAAGUGCCUGUGAGUUAAGCUCCGCAUUAAGGUAAUUUCGUGGCGGCCAGUUUUUUAUUGGUUGGGGAAGCCGGAGUGCCCGGAGAAAAACCACCGACCUUCGAUAGGAAAACUGACAAUCCUAGUCAAUUAAGAUUGGAGUCGAGGGCACCCGCACGAGCGGGGUUCGAAAUCAUAACCUCAAUGUUGAAUGGCUAGGGAUUACAUUAGUAACUACUUAGACCACUCGGCCACCGAGUCCCCCUCUCGAAGAGAAAAGAAUGAUAAGAGUUAAAUACCAAAGCGACAAAUUACUAAAUAGUGUCAUUUUUCAGUGAAAAAGAGAGAGUCAAACUUUUUAAAGCACAGUACGUCUACUCUACAGCUACUACUGAUUGUUCAGCAUAACAAAGGUUUAAAUGAAUGUUGUGAAACAAAAAGGGGUAAGGGGUGGAAAAUCUAUCUGUUUUGUUAAAAUACUUUGAAAUUUUUCUCUCAAUUAUGGAGUUUAUAUAUAAAUAAAAUAAUCAGAUAACCAUAUAAAUGUUAUUUCAGUUGCUGGCUCAUCAAUCCAGUUUAACCUUAAAAUUGUAAAUUAGAGUUUUUUUGAAUUUCUAAAUUACUGCUUGUUGCAUAAUAAAUAUUGUUUUUACAGAAUUAAUGAUUACGGAUGUCCAUAAUAAUUUGAAAUAUUGCGCUAUGUUAAAAACAGUCGUCGAGUUUCGUCGAAAUUAUUGGAAACCUAGAAUAAUCAACAAGUGAACAAAAUUCUUCGUAAAUGUUUUAGCUACCGAGAAAUAACCAAGCGACCGUAUAGUAUAAGUGUAUAUGUGUAUGUUUGUAAUAGCACUGUUGAAGCAUUCCACAGUUUAAGGCAAAGGCACCGAG
This 3016-nucleotide long non-coding RNA is filed under the name Mytilus galloprovincialis (Mediterranean mussel). The record is from RNAcentral. Lineage: Eukaryota; Metazoa; Mollusca; Bivalvia; Mytilida; Mytilidae.